Molecule: unclassified non-coding RNA, 377 nt
Filed under: uncultured Pseudomonadota bacterium
Lineage: Bacteria; Pseudomonadati; Pseudomonadota
Description: uncultured proteobacterium contains 16S-23S intergenic spacer region
Source: RNAcentral
UCCGGUUUGUCACCGGCAGUAUCCCAUGAGUCCCCAACUGAAUGUAGCAACUAAUGGCAAGGGUUGCGCUCGUUGCGGGACUUAACCCAACAUCUCACGACACGAGCUGACGACAGCCAUGCAGCACCUGUGUCCAGGUUCCCUUUCGGGCACCGCUGCAUUUCUGCAGCGUUCCUGGCAUGUCAAGGGUAGGUAAGGUUUUUCGCGUUGCAUCGAAUUAAACCACAUCAUCCACCGCUUGUGCAGGCCCCCGUCAAUUUCUUUGAGUUUUAACCUUGCGGCCGUACUCCCCAGGCGGAUGACUUAAUGCGUUAGCUGCGCCACCGAAAGCCCAUGGCCCCCGACAGCUAGUCAUCAUCGUUUACGGCGUGGACUAC